RNAcentral lists this long non-coding RNA (585 nucleotides) under Fukomys damarensis (Damara mole-rat). RNAcentral's name for it is "lncRNA (ENSFDAG00000029990.1)". Lineage: Eukaryota; Metazoa; Chordata; Mammalia; Rodentia; Bathyergidae. The record is from RNAcentral.
GUCCUACUAUAGGAGUUUAAUAUCCUUUUAAAAUUUUUGUAGGUGAACAGUAUUAGUCUCUUUCAACUUUUCUUCCAUUCUGAGAUGUUGAAUCACUCAGGGGAGGAAUAGCUGCCUGUCUUAACUAGGACACCUCUGUUUUCUAGGCUUUCCUGGAAAGUUGUCUCUGUAACAUCUUCACCUUCACACAGUGCAUUUCUAUUGUCCUCAGGUUGGGGCUUUUGAAGAACACUUUGUGUCAAUGGGAACACUUUUCUUCUGAGAUAAAGAUAGUGGAUAUCUGUGCAUCUCAGUCUGGACUAAAAAGAUCUUGUGAAUGGAGACUGGUUCAGUACAGGGGUUCCCAGGCCCUUCUCAUCCUGAAUUAGGACAGCCAUCCUUUCUGUUUCCAGAUUCCGUGGAAACUGUAAAGAUGGAAAGAGUGAAUAUGGAGAUAAUAAUUCAGUAUAGAAAGAGUAUGGCAAAGUACAACUUUCAAAUGUUAAAACAUCAGUGGAUGUCCUACAUCAAGAGGAUUGCAAGCUUGAGACCAGCAAAGAUGGGUUAUGUAGAGAGAAUCUGUCUUUUAAAAAAAAUAAACAGCAC